CCACUAUGCCUGGCAGAGAAGAUACCAUGAUCAUGAAGGUGGUUUUCCCAGAGCGAGGCUUAUCCAUUGCACUCUGGAUGUGCUGACCCCUGUGAGUUCCCCAAAUGUGGAAAACUUGAUUGCAUGAUUUCUGGUAGUGGGGAACUGCGUUCAUGCUUUGCCCCC
RNAcentral lists this small nuclear RNA (165 nucleotides) under Aotus nancymaae (Ma's night monkey). RNAcentral's name for it is "U1 spliceosomal RNA (ENSANAG00000019709.1)". It matches the Rfam family "U1 spliceosomal RNA". From Rfam's summary of the family: U1 is a small nuclear RNA (snRNA) component of the spliceosome (involved in pre-mRNA splicing). Lineage: Eukaryota; Metazoa; Chordata; Mammalia; Primates; Aotidae. The record is from Rfam by way of RNAcentral.